This 1451-nucleotide ribosomal RNA is filed under the name metagenome. Its description in RNAcentral is "bacterial SSU rRNA". It matches the Rfam family "Bacterial small subunit ribosomal RNA". The record is from RNAcentral.
AGAGUUUGAUCCUGGCUCAGGACAAACGCUGGCGGCGUGCCUAAAACAUGCGAGUCGUACGGACUCUUCGGAGUCAGUGGCGGACGGCUGAGUAACGCGUGGGUAACCUACCCGUGAGUGUGGAAUAACCCUCCGAAAGGAGGGCUAAUACCGCAUACGACCACGAGCCUGCGGACUCGUGAGGAAAGUCGCAAGGCGCUCGCGGAGGGGCCCGCGUCCGAUUAGCUAGUUGGUGGGGUAACGGCCUACCAAGGCGUCGAUCGGUAGCUGGUCUGAGAGGAUGAUCAGCCAGACUGGGACUGUGACACGGCCCAGACUCCUACGGGAGGCAGCAGUUAGGAAUCUUGGGCAAUGGGCGAAAGCCUGACCCAGCAACGCCGCGUGGGUGACGAAGGCCUUCGGGUCGUAAAGCCCUUUUCCACGGGAAGAUAAUGACGGUACCGUGGGAAUAAGCCCCGGCUAACUACGUGCCAGCAGCCGCGGUAAUACGUAGGGGGCGAGCGUUGUCCGGAUUUAUUGGGCGUAAAACGCUUGUAGUGGCUACGUCAAGUCGGACGUGAAAUCUCCCGGCUUAACUGGGAGGGGUCGCUCGAUACUGGCGAGCUCGAGGCAGGUAGGGGGAAGCGGAAUUCCCGGUGUAGUGGUGGAAUGCGUAGAUAUCGGGAGGAACACCAGUGGCGAAGGCGGCUUCCUGGACCUGUUCUGACACUGAGGAGCGAAAGCGUGGGGAGCGAUCCGGAUUAGAUACCCGGGUAGUCCACGCCGUAAACGGUGAGCACUAGGUGUCGGGGGUAUCGACCCCUCCGGUGCCGCAGCUAACGCAUUAAGUGCUCUGCCUGGGGAGUACGGCCGCAAGGCUAAAACUCAAAGGAAUUGACGGGGGCCCGCACAAGCAGCGGAGCGUGUGGUUUAAUUCGAUGCAACGCGAAGAACCUCACCCAGGCUUGACAUGGCUGAAGUAGAACCCUGAAAGGGGAACGACCCGUAAAGUCGGGAGCAGUCACAGGUGCUGCAUGGCUGUCGUCAGCUCGUGCCGUGAGGUGUUGGGUUAAGUCCCGCAACGAGCGCAACCCUCUCGUUAGUUACUAUGUCUAACGCGACCGCCGGUCUUAAACCGGAGGAAGGUGGGGAUGACGUCAAGUCAGCACGGCCCUUACGCCUGGGGCUACACACACGCUACAAUGGCCGGUACAAUGGGACGCCAAAGGGUGACCUGGAGCAAAUCCUAUCAAAACCGGUCUCAGUUGGGAUUGGAGGCUGCAACUCGCCUCCAUGAACGCGGAGUUGCUAGUAACCGCAGGUCAGCACACUGCGGUGAAUACGUUCCCGGGCCUUGUACACACCGCCCGUCACGUCAUGAAAGUUGGAAACGCCUGAAGUCGGUGGGCCAACCGUAAGGGGGCAGCUGCCGAGGGUGGAGCCAGCGAUUGGGACGAAGUCGUAACAAGGUA